UAGGAAGAUCGAAUUAUAAGUGUAGAGUACACGAGCGGCGGACGGGUGAGUAACACGUGGGAAUCUACCCCAAACUGAGGGAUAAGCACCGGAAACGGUGUCUAAUACCGCAUAUGGUCUUCGGAUUAAAGCUUCGGCGGUUUGGGAAGAGCCCGCGUAAGAUUAGCUAGUUGGUGAGGUAAAGGCUCACCAAGGCGACGAUCUUUAGCUGGUUUGAGAGGAUGAUCAGCCACACUGGAACUGAGACACGGUCCAGACUCCUACGGGAGGCAGCAGUUAGGAAUUUUCCACAAUGGGCGCAAGCCUGAUGGAGCAACGCCGCGUGCAGGAUGAAGGUUUUCGGAUUGUAAACUGCUUUUAUGUGUGAAGAAUAUGACGGUAACACAUGAAUAAGGAUCGGCUAACUCCGUG
Molecule: ribosomal RNA, 411 nt
Filed under: uncultured bacterium
Lineage: Bacteria
Description: bacterial SSU rRNA
Rfam family: Bacterial small subunit ribosomal RNA
Source: RNAcentral